Molecule: ribosomal RNA, 467 nt
Filed under: uncultured bacterium
Lineage: Bacteria
Description: partial 16S ribosomal RNA
Rfam family: Bacterial small subunit ribosomal RNA
Source: RNAcentral
GACGAACGCUGGCGGCGUGCUUAACACAUGCAAGUCGAACGGAAAGGCCUCUUUCGGGGGGUACUCGCGUGGCGAACGGGUGAGUAACACGUGAGUAACCUGCCCUUGACUUUGGGAUAACUUCAGGAAACUGGGGCUAAUACCGGAUAGGAGCUCCUGCUGCAUGGUGGGGGUUGGAAAGUUUCGGCGGUUGGGGAUGGACUCGCGGCUUAUCAGCUUGUUGGUGGGGUAGUGGCUUACCAAGGCUUUGACGGGUAGCCGGCCUGAGAGGGUGACCGGCCACAUUGGGACCGAGAUACGGCCCAGACUCCUACGGGAGGCAGCAGUGGGGAAUAUUGCACAAUGGGUGGAAGCCUGAUGCAGCAACGCCGGGGGCGGGAUGACGGCCUUCGGGUUGUAAACCGCUUUCGCUCAUGACGAAGCUUUGUGUGACGGUAGUGGGUAAAGAAGCACCGGCUAACUACGUG